Molecule: ribosomal RNA, 313 nt
Filed under: Escherichia coli
Lineage: Bacteria; Pseudomonadati; Pseudomonadota; Gammaproteobacteria; Enterobacterales; Enterobacteriaceae
Description: partial 23S ribosomal RNA
Rfam family: Bacterial large subunit ribosomal RNA
Source: RNAcentral
GGGACACGUGGUAUCCUGUCUGAAUAUGGGGGGACCAUCCUCCAAGGCUAAAUACUCCUGACUGACCGAUAGUGAACCAGUACCGUGAGGGAAAGGCGAAAAGAACCCCGGCGAGGGGAGUGAAAAAGAACCUGAAACCGUGUACGUACAAGCAGUGGGAGCACGCUUAGGCGUGUGACUGCGUACCUUUUGUAUAAUGGGUCAGCGACUUAUAUUCUGUAGCAAGGUUAACCGAAUAGGGGAGCCGAAGGGAAACCGAGUCUUAACUGGGCGUUAAGUUGCAGGGUAUAGACCCGAAACCCGGUGAUCUAGC